Molecule: non-coding RNA, 2471 nt
Organism: Cyanistes caeruleus (blue tit)
Lineage: Eukaryota; Metazoa; Chordata; Aves; Passeriformes; Paridae
Source: RefSeq, a predicted model, not a curated record
UACAGCUGCCACAAGUUGUAUGUUUAACAGAGGCUCAAGGCCAGCAGCCCUUUAAAUGGCAUAACCAGGUUUGUAACUGAAGAUUCUCUGCUCUGAAAACAACACCAAGAAAUUACCACCUGAGGAGCCACAGCAGAAAAAAAUGAAAUGAGAAACAAGCAGCAGGUUUUCAAACUUCGUAUGCCUUGAUUGUUAGAUGUUAAGAUUCCUGCAGAAAACUGAAAGGAACCAAUCUUUUCUCAGGGAAAAUCUAACUGGAUGGCCCUGGGAGGCAGCCACUGCUCCCUGCUGCUGGCACAGCUGGCCUCCACCAGUCCUGACCGUAGCACUUCGAGCCUCCAUGCUCUUAGCAACUGGAUUUCAGAACAACAAAGCUUAAGUUGUCCCAGCUCCCAUAUCUCUCUCAACCAAGGGGAAAACGGGUGUCUGGUUAAAGACUAUUUUCACUUUGAGAGUUCUGCCCCAUGAAAGUAGGAUCUGUUUCUCCUGUACUCACCUGUGGCAUCAUCCUACACCCCACUCCUCCCAGAACAGCAGUAGAAACCAGUAUGGAUGUGUCAAGAUAAAAAUCUUGUCAAACCCCUUUAAUUUCCUUCUACAAACAGACUCUGCAUGCAGGAGAAGCAGUGGCUGUGAUUUUGCUUGGCUUUUCAAAGGUAUCUGACACUCCUUCAGUGAAAAAUGACAUCUGGAAAUUACUAUACGGGAUGUGUAAAGUUGUUUUGGAAACCACUCACUAAUUACUACUCUGUAACUCACUGGCUGGGUUUUGAUACCUACUGAGUAAGAAUGGGCAAAGUAUUAUUUCCCAAAUACAGCUUCAGCUUAUUUAUUCAUGCAUGAGAUAGAUAAUGUGAAGCAAGAGAGAUUCACAAGUAACACCAAGUUGGGAAAGGCAUCAAUACUGGCGGGAAGGAUUAGCUCAAAAAAAUAUGCUGACAGCUUGGGGAAGAGUCUGAAAAGGCAGGAUGAAACAUAAUAGGGAUUGGUACGAUAUCCUUCAUUUGUGACAGAACAACCACCUGCACAAACAAUGACUAAAAAACUAAUAGAGAAGCAGUAAUUAUCCAAGGAAGCUGGAGCAGUGACAGUGGGUGUCAUUAAAUGUGAGGCACUGAAGGUGUGAAGUUAAGAGAAGAAAAGCAAACACUGUCCAGGUCAGUAUAAACCAGAAGGCAAUGUGCAAAUCACAGCAGAGACCAACAUUCAGUGCAGCACUCUCCACUUCUGAUGGGCCAUGUGAAGACAAUCCAGAGUAGAAAGUGAGCAACCAGUGCUUUAGUAAAUACAGCUAAAGAGGGAAGAUUCAAAUAAUAGUGGUAUUUUGAAAAAGCCAAAGGGAUGACAGUCUCUAGGUAGAGAUAAAACACAAAAGGGAAUAGAAGCCUUCCUAUGUCUGUGAACCAGACAGGAGGCAAUGGGCUAAAGCUGUAGCACGGAAAUCUAUAUUACACUUCACUAAAGACUGCAGAAUCUCCACCACUGGACACUGGCACUGGGAAAACUGAACAAGCACAACUCUUCUACAUUUCCUAACCUCAGAUCUUGCAGAGCACAUAAACCUUCUUAUGUUUAUUUAUUGAAUUAUUCCUCCUUCCACAGUGCCUAGUUAUAAUAGACACAGCAGUCACUUUGAUUCAAAAUGUAUUUGCUGUCAUGUAGUAACUGUUCAGAUCCUGUUGUUCCCCAUCAAGGAAACUUACCAUUCAUACAAGCAGUUCCUGCAUGAAUAAACCUCUCUCUGCAGUUUUUCCCCAAAGAAAUGUCAAUGCUCAAGUGCAGUCCUAGAUACACAGAUGUUCAGAGUUCAAAAUGAGAAAUAAGGAAGAUUUUCUUGCACCUGUCUGGACUCUGUCCCAGAGAAUUGCACCAAGGAACAUGAAGUCUUCAUUGUUAAAAUCUUUCCAAUAGGUUAGUUUUUGUCUCUGGAAAGCAGUAAACUGUGAAAUUUCACAGUCUUGCAAAUUCUGCUUCUCAUUCUGAACUACAGAAAGCAUAGUAAAGGUAUAUCAUUUUCUGUCCCCUAAGUUAUACAUGGGAAGUAUCUACAUGUGCAGCUGUGAGUCCAACACAGUAAAAGUAAUGUAACACUUAAAAAUCUUUCUAAAAAUUCUACCACCUGUUAUCUUACAUAUUACACCAUAACCAAACCACAGAGUAACUGCUGCCUCAAAUGCCUAGAUAAUAUCAAAGCCAUAUAUCCGGGUUUCAGGCUGUUGAUUUAAAUGUUUCUGUAAUGACAUAUGUUGCAACUGCUUCAAAUUAUCUCAUGUACCAUGAAACACCUUUGCUUCUACCAACUUAAGAUUUGCCCCUUGAACCAUGCCACUAUAAAUGUCUUAAUAGGAUGCUGGAUUCAAACCAUGAAUCUCUAAUAAUGAAAAUAUCACGAUGAUCACAUGGUAGUUAAGCAGAGCCUUAAAAACUAGAAACCCCUUCUCUUGAAUGGUGGCAUACUUGUUGUCAUGAAA